UACGUAGGUGGCAAGCGUUAUCCGGAUUUAUUGGGUGUAAAGGGCGUGUAGGCGGGAGCGCAAGUCAGAUGUGAAAACUCAGGGCUCAACCCUGAGCCUGCAUUUGAAACUGUGUUUCUUGAGUGCUGGAGAGGCAAUCGGAAUUCCGUGUGUAGCGGUGAAAUGCGUAGAUAUACGGAGGAACACCAGUGGCGAAGGCGGAUUGCUGGAUAGUAACUGACGCUGAGGCGCGAAAGCGUGGGGAGCAAACAGG
This 253-nucleotide ribosomal RNA is filed under the name uncultured bacterium. Its description in RNAcentral is "partial 16S ribosomal RNA". It matches the Rfam family "Bacterial small subunit ribosomal RNA", at positions 524 to 776 of the family's 1533-position model. The record is from RNAcentral.